Molecule: RNA transcript, 1490 nt
Organism: Canis lupus familiaris (dog)
Lineage: Eukaryota; Metazoa; Chordata; Mammalia; Carnivora; Canidae
Gene name: translation initiation factor IF-2-like
Exons: 2
Source: RefSeq, a predicted model, not a curated record
CGGAGCGCAGACGCCGCCCGCCCGCGGGGAGGAUGCUCCGGUUCCCGGUUCCCGAGUGGCGGUGACGGGACCCGGUGGGCGCCGCCGAGAGGCCGCGGAGCGGGGAGUCCGGGGCGCGGCCCGCAGCCAACCGCGCAGCUCGGGCAAGGGAACCAGGCGGGGAGCACCGCGGAGCCCCCGGGAGGCCCGGGGCUUGGCUCUGACGCCUGGUCCCCGAGCAGGCCCCAGCAGGCCCCGAGCAGGCCCCGAAACCCGGUUGCGGCCGCUCAUCCUCGACCUCGACCUCGACCUCGACCUCUCGGGCGACCCUCAGCACAGCCCACGUCCCCUCCUGGCCUCUUCAUCCACAGCCAGUGAUGCUCACGCAGCCAUGGGCUGGAAUGCGAGGGUCACCGAGGGUCACCGGAAGGAAGCCUCGAGGCCACUGAGGCCCCCACACCUGGAGAGACCUGCGCCUCCAGAGGCUGCUGGGGCUGCGUCCCGGGUGUGCCGGCCUCCCAGGCCCGACCCAACGCCCCGAACCAAUCUCCCAGGAGACUGGACAGGCCUGCACUGUUCUGGUCAACUGUGAGAUGGCAAUUGGAUAAGAAAUGGUUAAAACCAGGAAACUCCACAUUUCUAGAGAAUGUCAGAGGGACUUUCCCAUGGCAACACCUGGUGGUUUCCUCCGGCAGCCGCACCCGCACCCCGACCGCCCUGCACCAGAACAGGAGCCCGGCUGAGAACUGCCUCUGCCCUCAGGCAGACCAGACCGAGCAGACCUGUGAUAACCCCCAGUCACAGGGGGGUGCUGGGCCUGCCCCGCCGCUGCCCGCCUCUUCUCCCGGCAGAACCGGGUCACCAGACCCUCCCAGCUCUCCAUCCGGCAUUCCCGGCUGUCCGCGGGCCUGGCAGCGAGAGAAUUGCACAUCCUUGGUACCUUCUGAUGAGAUCAGAUUUUGUUGGGAAUCCUCCAUGAGGUCACAUCCUCUGUGUGGACGAGCUCUGGUCCCAGCUGCGCAGUAUGGCCCUUGUUUCCCUGUGGGGAGGCACGAGAGUCUGGCGGGCUCCUGAGGGGAAGAGGAAGUCUGUAAGAGGGCACAGCAUAUUUUCCUGAGUGGCUCUGAGGAGUCCUAGAAAUAGAAGUGGCAAUCCAAAGGUAGGACAAAGACCAAAGGUGGGAUGAAGAGGGUCUUUGAUGGCAACUCUCAGGGAAAAAGCUCCCAUCUACCUUCUACAAAGGGAGGCCGAAGGUGUAGGGGAAAGGACAGGAGCUUUACUAACACAGCGGCUGGCAUCCUAACUGCUGCUUACUCUGCACAGCAUGCAUGGUCAGCCCUUCCAUUUGUGCUCCGUAAGUCCCCCUUAUCCUGCACCUUCCUUCUUCCCACCCUACGGGGUCUUGACCUUGAGCUAGUCACCCAACCUUUCUCAGACAGUUGCUGUAAGAGCAACAUGAGAUGAAGUACCUGCUACCCGGUAGGCCCUGAAUAAAUACUGAUUGCAUCUUC